This 784-nucleotide long non-coding RNA is filed under the name Homo sapiens (human). Its description in RNAcentral is "HSALNT0379833". The record is from RNAcentral. Lineage: Eukaryota; Metazoa; Chordata; Mammalia; Primates; Hominidae.
CCUGACAAGCCGCUGGGGUUACCGUCAACGGAUGGAAGCUUUGUUCCUUCGCUCUUCGUGAUAAAUCUUGGUGUAGCUCACCCUUUGGGUCCACACUACUUUUAAGAGCUGUAACACUCACUGUGAAGGUGUGUGGCUUCUCUCCUGAAGUCAAUGAGACCACGAAACCACCAGAAGGAAGAAACAUUGGACACACCUGAACAUCUGAAGGAACAAACUCCGGACAUGCCGUGUUUAAGAACUGUACCACUCAGCGCGAGGGUCUGUGGCCUCAUUCUUGAAGUCAGCGAGAGAAAGAACCCACUGGAAGGAACCAAUUCUGGACACACAGUAAACAGCACUUGAUUGGCCAACAGAAACCUAUUUCGUUUACAAAUGGUCGUUCCAAGGUGAAUGGACAAUAUCCUGUUUGGAAGGCUGCCACACUAUGACCAACUGUUGAAAAAACCCUGAUUGACGAUAAGAACAAAGCAGACCAAUUGCCCUGGCUGCAACUUCCAGUACAAUGUUGAAUAUAAGUGGCAAUAGUGGACAUCUUGGGAAUGUCAGCGUCCUGGUGACCCCGACCUCUGGCGGAUGUCCUUGGUGUUCACAGGGCAGCAAUGUGUGCUUGGGUACAUUGUUGUAGAAGGACAACAUGGAAAUACAACUUGCCAGUGAACAUGUUUAAUCCUCUCCUAUGUUGUGGUAGUUUUUCAAAUAAUUUGUCCAUCUCCCCUGGCUUAUGACUUUUUCUCUUACUGAUGCAUAGAGGUCUCUUAUGUAAUCUAGUUAUAAAAGUUGC